Molecule: long non-coding RNA, 1147 nt
Filed under: Equus asinus (donkey)
Lineage: Eukaryota; Metazoa; Chordata; Mammalia; Perissodactyla; Equidae
Description: lncRNA (ENSEASG00005038461.1)
Source: RNAcentral
UUUAUAAAUACGUAUUCAUAAAAGGCUGUGCCUUGAACGCUGUUGCUGAUUUUCAGAGGAUGGGCGCUGUCCUCCUUCAGACUGAGGUGUUCAGAGGGAGAGUGAAUCGGAGUGAGGCUCCCCGGCCCGUGAGCAAAGUGAGCCUUUAGGAAGAUACAGUUCACAACCUCGAGGGAUGUCCGCACCAAGAAGUCUAAAGCCGUGGACUGUCUCGUGACAAACACUCUAGUCUCAAGCUUACAAGAAAACAGUCCCUGGAACUGUGGACGCUCCGCCAUCAAUGCGGCCAGAAAGCCCUUUACACUUCUCAUUGGAAGACUCAGCCGGAGCUUGCCUUUCCGCUGGUGGGACGUGGAACAUGUGCUCAUUUUACAGGCUGUGAUGUUUGGAGCUAGUGCAGCCAUUUUAUCCCAGUGAAGAGCAACGUUGCUGACACACUGAGGAUGGAAGAGCAGAGAGCUGGAUGAGCCCUGAUGAGUGUGGGAGGUGCCAAUCCAACCUUGGGAUUGCUUACUUCCAGACCUUCCAUUAAGGGAACAGUCAACAUGCUCCUCCUAUUUUCUGACAGAUACAAAGUUAUUUCCACAAUUCCUGAUUUGAAGUCUUUUCCUCCCGGGAGUGGUUUGUUUUGGUGCCCCUGGUCAUCGGGCUGCCGGCGGUGGACCAGGAACGCCCGCCCGUGAACACAGGUCAUGUCACAGCUGGGUGAGGCCCUCGGAGACCACAGAGUUCAUCUGCCGUCACAUCACCAUGAUUUCCAGAUGUGAGACUCUUUCUCUUCCCCUUGGAUCUGGGCUGUCCUGUGACUACUUUGACCAAUGGAGCGUGGCAGACGUGAAGCUAUGCCAGUUCCAGGAACAGCCUUUAAGACCAGUACUAUUAUCUUGCUCUCCUGGAUACCUGAGCUGCCUUGUAAGAAGUCUGACUAUCUCAAGGCCACCAUGAUACAAGAAGCCCAAGCAAUGUGAAGAAGGCUUGGAAGAGCUCACCUGGGUAGUUAGUCUCUGAGCUACACAGGGUCCACCAGGUGCCUGGGGCUGGGCGUUUCCUUACAGAUGACUUCUUUACUCACAUGUCUCUGUGCUCACUGGCCUUCCUUGGCCUUUUCCCUCUCUUCCAAAAUCCCUGACCCACGAUAUCAUGAACA